RNAcentral lists this non-coding RNA (28 nucleotides) under Mus musculus (house mouse). Lineage: Eukaryota; Metazoa; Chordata; Mammalia; Rodentia; Muridae. The record is from RNAcentral.
UUCAGAACACAUGUCCUCUUGCCCUAGG